This 460-nucleotide ribosomal RNA is filed under the name uncultured bacterium. RNAcentral describes it as "partial 16S ribosomal RNA". It matches the Rfam family "Bacterial small subunit ribosomal RNA", at positions 338 to 795 of the family's 1533-position model. The record is from RNAcentral.
CCUACGGGGUGCAGCAGUGAGGAAUAUUGGUCAAUGGACGAGAGUCUGAACCAGCCAAGUAGCGUGAAGGAUGACUGCCCUAUGGGUUGUAAACUUCUUUUAUAUGGGAAUAAAAUGUUCCACGUGUGGGAUUUUGUAUGUACCAUAUGAAUAAGGAUCGGCUAACUCCGUGCCAGCAGCCGCGGUAAUACGGAGGAUCCGAGCGUUAUCCGGAUUUAUUGGGUUUAAAGGGAGCGUAGGUGGAUUGUUAAGUCAGUUGUGAAAGUUUGCGGCUCAACCGUAAAAUUGCAGUUGAAACUGGCAGUCUUGAGUACAGUAGAGGUGGGCGGAAUGCGUGGUGUAGCGGUGAAAUGCUUAGAUAUCACGAAGAACUCCGAUUGCGAAGGCAGUUCACUGGACUGCAACUGACACUGAGGCUCGAAAGUGUGGGUAUCAAACAGGAUUAGAUACCCGGGUAGUC